UAGCUCAGUUGGUAAAGAAACUGCCUGCAAUGCAGGAGACCCGGGUUCGAUUCCUGG
Molecule: transfer RNA, 57 nt
Filed under: Ovis aries (sheep)
Lineage: Eukaryota; Metazoa; Chordata; Mammalia; Artiodactyla; Bovidae
Rfam family: tRNA
About the family: Transfer RNA (tRNA) molecules are approximately 80 nucleotides in length. Their secondary structure includes four short double-helical elements and three loops (D, anti-codon, and T loops).
Source: Rfam by way of RNAcentral